RNAcentral lists this ribosomal RNA (467 nucleotides) under uncultured bacterium. RNAcentral describes it as "bacterial SSU rRNA". It matches the Rfam family "Bacterial small subunit ribosomal RNA", at positions 917 to 1382 of the family's 1533-position model. The record is from RNAcentral.
GGGCCCGCACAAGCGGUGGAGCAUGUGGUUCAAUUCGACGCAACGCGAAGAACCUUACCUGGGCUCGAAAUGCUAUGGACAGUCUGUGAAAGCAGAUCUUCUCGCAAGAGACCGUAGUAUAGGUGCUGCAUGGCUGUCGUCAGCUCGUGUCGUGAGAUGUUGGGUUAAGUCCCGCAACGAGCGCAACCCUUGUCCUGUGUUGCCACUCCCGUAAGGGAAGCACUCUCAGGAGACCGCCAGCGAUAAGUUGGAGGAAGGUGGGGAUGAUGUCAAGUCAUCAUGGCCUUUAUGUCCAGGGCUACACACGUGCUACAAUGGACGGUACAAAGCGCUGCAAACCCGCGAGGGGGAGCCAAUCGCAAAAAACCGUUCUCAGUUCGGAUCGCAGGCUGCAACUCGCCUGCGUGAAGCUGGAAUCGCUAGUAAUGGCGUAUCAGAACGAUGCCGUGAAUACGUUCCCGGGCCUU